RNAcentral lists this ribosomal RNA (509 nucleotides) under uncultured bacterium. RNAcentral describes it as "bacterial SSU rRNA". It matches the Rfam family "Bacterial small subunit ribosomal RNA", at positions 15 to 518 of the family's 1533-position model. The record is from RNAcentral.
GAUUAUGGCUCAGGAUGAACGCUGGCGGCGUGCCUAAUACAUGCAAGUCGAACGAGGUAGCAAUACCGAGUGGCGAACGGGUGAGUAACACGUAGGUAACCUGCCCUUAAGCUUGGGAUACCCAGAGGAAACUUUGGCUAAUACCGGAUAACAACAGAGAAGGCAUCUUCUUUGCUUGAAAGGCCCCUUCAAGGGUCACUUAAGGAUGGACCUGCGGCGCAUUAGCUAGUUGGUGAGAUAACAGCCCACCAAGGCGAGGAUGCGUAGCCGAACUGAGAGGUUGAUCGGCCACAUUGGAACUGAGACACGGUCCAAACUCCUACGGGAGGCAGCAGUAAGGAGUUUUCGGCAAUGGGGGAAACCCUGACCGAGCAACGCCGCGUGAGCGAUGACGGUCCUUUGGAUUGUAAAAAGCUCUGUUGUAAGCCAUGAAUGACAGCUUGAGGAAAUGCAAGUUGUUUGACGACAGCUUACCAGAAAGCCACGGCUAACUACGUGCCAGCAGCUGC